UAUAUAUAUAUAUAUAUUGCAUAUAUGUAUCAUAUGUAAAUGAAAGUAAUAGCAUGUAUUUGAUUAGCAAUGCGAUCGAUUUGGGAUACCUUCGGGACCCGUCUUGAAACACGGACCAAGAAGUCUAACAUGUGUGCAAGUCAUUGGGUAUAUUAUGAUGAAACCUAAAGGCGAAAUUAAAAUAACUAUAAUGGGAUUACAAGUGAUAUUAUAUGUAUAUAUGUCAUGUAUAUAUGUAUUUAAAUGAUCACUUCUCCAUCCCGGGGCGUUCUAUAUUGAACAUGUUUUAAGCAAUUAAAUCCACUGUUCAAGAGCGUACCUUGAGCAUACAUGCUGUGACCCGAAAGAUGGUGAACUAUACCUGAUCAGGUUGAAGUCAGGGGAAACCCUGAUGGAGGACUGAAGCAGUUCUGACGUGCAAAUCGAUUGUCAGAAUUGGGUAUAGGGGCGAAAGACCAAUCGAACCAUCUAGUAGCUGGUUCCCUCCGAAGUUUCCCUCAGGAUAGCUGGUGCAAUAAGAGAAACUUUUGAUAUAUAAUCUUAUCUGGUAAAGCGAAUGAUUAGAGGCCUUGGGGCCGAAACGACCUUAACCUAUUCUCAAACUUUAAAUGGGUAAGAACCUCAUCUUUCUUGAUCUGAAGAUAUAGAGGUUUAGAUAUAUUGUGCCCAGUGGGCCACUUUUGGUAAGCAGAACUGGCGCUGUGGGAUGAACCAAACGUGAUGUUACGGCGCCUAAAUUAAUGACUCAUAUUGAUACCAUGAAAGGCGUUGGUUGCUUAAAACAGUAGGACGGUGGACACGGAAGUUGUAAUCCGCUAAGGAGUGUGUAACAACUCACCUGCCGAAGCAACUAGCCCUUAAAAUGGAUGGCGCUCAAGUCAUAUGCCUAUACAUUACCGCUAGAAUAAAAAAAAUUUCAAUUCCAUUUGAAAAAUUUGUGAAAUUCUAGUGAGUAGGAGGGUACAAUGGUGUGCGCAGAAAUGUUUGGCGUGAGCCUGCAUGGAGCCGCCAUUGGCACAGAUCUUGGUGGUAGUAGCAAAUAAUCGAAUGAGAUCUUGGAGGACUGAAGUGGAGAAGGGUUUCGUGUGAACAGUGGUUGAUCACGAGUUAUUCGGUCCUAAGCUCUAUGCGAAAGCUGUUUAAUUUAUGUU
RNAcentral lists this ribosomal RNA (1151 nucleotides) under unidentified. Its description in RNAcentral is "Taulyrpa sp. NB-2020 partial 28S ribosomal RNA". It matches the Rfam family "Eukaryotic large subunit ribosomal RNA", at positions 551 to 1578 of the family's 3401-position model. The record is from RNAcentral.